GUCGUAACAAGGUUCCGUAGGUGAACCUGCGGAAGGAUCAUUAU
RNAcentral lists this ribosomal RNA (44 nucleotides) under Leucocoprinus leucothites. RNAcentral describes it as "Leucoagaricus leucothites partial 18S ribosomal RNA". The record is from RNAcentral. Lineage: Eukaryota; Fungi; Basidiomycota; Agaricomycetes; Agaricales; Agaricaceae.